CCUACGGGGGGCAGCAGUGAGGAAUAUUGGUCAAUGGCCGAGAGGCUGAACCAGCCAAGUCGCGUGAGGGAAGACGGCCCUACGGGUUGUAAACCUCUUUUGUCGGGGAGCAAAGAGAGUCACGUGUGACUCAUUUAGAGUACCCGAAGAAAAAGCAACGGCAAACUCCGUGCCAGCCGCCGCGGUAAUACGGAGGAUGCGAGCGUUAUUCGGAUUUAUUUGGUUUAAAGGGUGCGGAGGCGGGGGUGCAAGUCAGCGGUCAAAUUGCGGGGCUCAACCCCGUACUGCCGUUGAAACUGCAGCCCUUGAGUGCGCGAGAAGUAUGCGGAAUGCGUGGUGUAGCGGUGAAAUGCAUAGAUAUCACGCAGAACUCCGAUUGCGAAGGCAGCAUACCGGCGCGCAACUGACGCUGAUGCACGAAAGCGUGGGUAUCGAACAGGAUUAGAUACCCGAGUAGUC
RNAcentral lists this ribosomal RNA (459 nucleotides) under uncultured bacterium. RNAcentral describes it as "partial 16S ribosomal RNA". It matches the Rfam family "Bacterial small subunit ribosomal RNA", at positions 338 to 795 of the family's 1533-position model. The record is from RNAcentral.